ACUUGGGGGCAAAGGUCACAUGAGGGGAGAAGUGGACUUAAGAGUCUCAACUCAGCUAUGGCUAUGGGGCUGGCAGAGCUCACAGCAAGCUCCUUGCUGCCAGCUGAACAGUGCCCCUGCAACCUAGCGCCCAGCCUGUGUGCCUCCCACCUGCCCUGGCAGGGCGGCCUAGCAGAAGGCUCUAGGGGCCAUUUCUCUGCUGCCAGGUGCCCACCUGCAGGGCUGUCUGCACAUGUCUCUACACCCUCAAUCUACAGGGACAUCUGUGAGGACUGACCAUGGUGGGGUGAGUCUGCAGGAAUGGAACCCCCAGCCAGCUGCCCACUUCUUCCUGUCUCAUGUCUGGCAGACCUGCUGCCCCUUUAGCUCCGGGUGGGUGGGAGACAAGCCUUAGGAGCAAAGGUAGGAGGUUACAGUGGCUGGGGGGCUUCUCUAGGAUUCUGAAGCCUCUACACUGCCUUGCCUCCUCCCAGAGGGCACUGGAGGUGGAAGGACCUUCAAGACCAGAGACUCAGGGUACCUAUCGGUUUAGAGGGGGCACAUGUGGGGCUAGGGACAGAGCUGGGAGUUGCUCCAAGAGGCAGCUCCAGAAGGAAACUGUUCCUUCCCUUGCCUCCACCCUGUGCCCACCUCUGAGCUGCCUGCCCCAGUGAGCGUCCCGAGCUGCUGCUCUAUCCCUGGGCUGGCACGGAAUAUCAAUUUGUCUCGUUAAGCUGAAAGUCUGCACUGCACCAAAAUCAGAACCCAGCCGUGCAGAGGGGCAGCAGGAGGGAGAGAGCUGGGAGUGCUAGUGGCAGGGACCCCGCAGGAGGACCAUGCUGAGACCCCUUCAUUCUUUUCCCUUCUGUCCCAUCAGAGGGUCCUGUGCUUGGCCAGGCUGAGAAACUAAGGAUAACAAGGGCUAGGGGGACAUUCAAGACCCCGGGCUCCACUGGGGCAGGGGUGUGGCUCAGAGGCUAGGGAAGGCUCUCUUCUGGGAUUCUGACAGAGCAUCUCAGACACACCAACAGCUCAGGGUUGGGGGCUCCCAAAGCAGCCUCACCUUUCCCUCAUCUUGGGGGGUACACAUGGGGGAACCCUAUCUUCUUGGGAGUAUAGUUGGGGGCAUUCUAUCCACUCCUCUGAAUAGGCUUCUAAGUCACCACUGGCCCUAAUCAGUGUCCAUCCCAGGGGCCAAAGCCAGGCCAGGAGUCCCCCUUUCCAAGAGCCUACAGGCAGCCCUACUCUGCCAAAUGCAGCCAAGUACAGGUGUUCUGAGAGGGUUGGAGUGAGAGCGGGCAAAGAAAGGCGGAGUGUGAAAGGCCCAUUGCAAUCCACAUCUGGUCUGAGCACGCCUGUCUGUGCUGGGGACCCCACCAUUGUCACAUCAACAUCUUUGGGGGCCGAUCACUUUCCCAGUUAUAAAACAGACAGCCCCUGCUAUGAGCCACCCACUUUGACAGCGAACACCCCUUCUGUGUCUAGCACACUCUGCAGCUUGUAAAGGCCACCUAUAAAACAGUAGAUCAUUUGAUCCUCACAACUACUGCUGGGUGGCUGCUGUGAGCACCCAAGGUUCAGAUGAGGAGGUUAUGUGUAGUUCAGAGGGGUGCAGUGGCCAGGACAAGGUGGCACAGCCAGUAAGAGGUAAACCAAACCUGUGACUGAGGCAUGAGAGUCCAGGCCCAGGGACCCCCACGUGUGAAGGCUAUUGGGAGCAUGGGCUGACUGAAUGUCUACAACACUUGUCCACUUGGAAGUCCUGAGUCUUGCCUGCCUGCUGGCACCUGUUUGGGGUGGUCUGGGCCCUCACCAACACCCUGGGCAGUCAUGGAUUUUGGUUUCCAGAAUCUAAGAUUGUAAUUGGUACCCAGCCCAGCUCUUGUCUUCUUGGCAUUCCAGGCCCUGUGUCCUUCAGUUUCUGCAUCCACCCACCAUUGACUGGAUGUUUCCUAUCUCCUGAAGCAGCUCAAAUGUUGAAUAGCAUAGUUUGAAGGUUUUUUCCUUGCACCUAUAUGUCACUUCUAGACACAUAAACUCCUAUUCAUCCUUCAAAGCCCAACUCAUACUUCCUUUUCCUGGAUAGUUAGUCUUCCUGAUUCCAGAAACUAAGUUGGUUCAUGCCUCUAGAUUCUAGCUCUAACUACUCUGUAUUGUGAUGGUCUACAUGCCUUUCUCUCUCACUGGGGUAUGACCACGUCACACAUAUCUUCACAAUCCCGGGUCUCAGGUCCCAGCACAUGGUAGGUGACGUAGUAAAGACUUGAAUGAGUCUGCUGCUGUGUAAAUUUGAUUUAUCAAGUACAGAACCAGAAGGACUCUCAAAACCUCCAAUUCAAUCCUCCCAUUUUACAGUUGAGCAAACUGAGCCUUCAAGAAAAAAUGUAAAUGGCUUGCCUAAGGUCACUCUUGAGGGUGGAACCUGGCCAUAGACAUCCAUCACCUGCUCCGCCCUGUCCCUGGUGCCACCCCUUCCUGCAGCAGACACACCUGCGUCAUCUGGCCUGUCCUUCCAGGAUAUAUUGGGGGCGGGGGCAGGGGUUUUGGAAGGGCAGAGGUGUUGUGAAAUUAGACAAACAAUGGCCCUAGUGUUGUAACUCCAGGAAGGUUGGAAACGUCAGGUCAGGGUCACCCACAGGGAAGAGGGGGAAAGAGGCAGGAGGCCAGCUGGGAGGAUUACUGAUGGCCUCUGCCUCCAACAUGAUUUGGCUUAUGGUGGACAUGGAUUGAGGCUCAGGGUUGGAGAAAGGUACCAGAAAUAGAGGAGGGGAGGGGAGAGCCACUGGAGCCUUAUUUUCCAACAAUGUUUAGUUGGCCAGACCACAUGUUCUCCCAUGGGGAGAGGUCCUAGGACCCCCCAGAGGGCGAGUGGUGAGGGUCAGUCUGCCCAGGGAUAGGGGUAGGGAGCUUGGUCCAGUCUGCCAAAGGCACUCUGCACAAAAGAGACAGAUGAAGUAGGUCCAGACGGGUCAGAGGGAGGAGAAUUGAAUGUAACCAGAGGCCAGCUGUGUCCUUUCUAUAUGACAUGGGCUCCCUCUUGCCUUUCCUCUUUCUGGAAAGUGUGAAUGUGGGUUACCUGCACUUGCCUCACCUGGCUUAGGGGCUUUAGACACCUAGGUAGGGGUCCUGGGCCAGCUCUCCGGUCACUGCUGCCACAAAGAGAUGCUAAUUGGGCCCCUUAGGGCACAGGAAGCUAUUUCCAAAGGCCCAUCACAGUCAUGUCUCCUCUGACUUCCACAGAUCACCUUCAAAAGAGACUGGGCUCCUACCCAUUUUACAGAAGAGAAAAUUGAGACCUGGCGGCUUCAGGGACUUGCUUAAAAGUUACAGAGCCAGUGAGAACAGGAGUGAGAUCAGAAUGCAGAUCUAUUCCACUCAGACCCUAUGCCCUUCUCUCUGUCUCUGCCCAAAGUUACUCAAGUUUGAGGUAAAUAGCUCAGGGACUCCUAGGCCCAUGACUUUGAGAGGCCAUGGACUGUGGAUCCAGAGGACCACAUAGGCUUGCUUGGUCCAAAUCUCCCCUAUAGCCAUGUUGGGUUCCCAUACCCACUCCCCCACCACCACAGCCCAAAUUCUCUCAGCUAACCAGACCUGAGGUUUUGAGGCCACACAGACCUGGGUUCAACUCCUGGCUCUCUCACUUACCUGCUGUGUGACCUUGGGCAAGUGACUCAACCUCCCCCAGUUUUCUCAUCUGCUAAAUGGGGAUGAUAUUAUUUAUUUGGCAGGAUUGCAAGUUAAAGGAGAUGGCAGCUGUUAUGAACAGAAGAAACAGAAGGGGUGGAACUCUCUGGGAGAUCCCUGGGAAAGUGUUGGAGUGGGUCUCUUGCAGCUCCUCUUACUGAUACGUGAUGCUCUCAGAUGCCACCUGUGGGGCGGGGCUAGGCUGAUCUCCAGGAUGCAGUCAGGCCCAGGGUAGCCCUGCUGAGAUUUGAGCCCAAGUCUUCAGUUCCCUGUUCCUCCUAUUUUUGCCCUCAGUAAGGAAGAUGCAGACCUGGCUUGUGGUGAAUUGCCCCCAGACACCAUUCUCAUGGACAUCUUACUAUGCACCAGGCCAUCUGUGCAGAGGGCUGACUCCCUGAAGGAAGAAGAGGAGGGAAGAGGAAACCGAAGGUCAUGGGAGGGGGAGAUGAAUCCAGGAAUAUCAGGAGAAGAAAGAAGGGAGCCUGUCGUUUACUGAGCAUCUACUGUGUGCCAGGCUCUUAACACAUGAGUUAUCACUUCUCGCGACCAACCCAGGAGAGUCUGAUGUUCACAGUCUUCAACCUAGAGGAGAGGAAAUAAGCCCAGAGAGGGUGGGUGGCUGGCUCGAGGGUGCACAGCCAUGUGGCACAGGACUGCAAAUGUGGCAUUGUCUUUCCCAAAGCCUGUGAUCUCUCACUUGUGGUCCUGCUGAGGAGGCUCCCAGCAGGGAAAGAGGGUUCGGGGGCAGAAGGCUGAUGACUGAGACUUGGGAGGCGUGGGUAGCCAAUAGCACUGGGACCACAACCAAUAAGAGGUUAGGGAAGAGAGUGUGGCCACCCCAGCUAUCUGUGUGUCAGCCCAAGUAGCUGGAUGCCACAGGGGCCACAUUAGCUACCUCUACUAAGCCCUUUCCUGCAUGCUAAUGUGCACACUUAAGUACACACUUAAAUACUCACAGUACACCCACCUCUGCCCCCAGUGGCUCUGCUAUGUGGACAGCAUCACCUCCAGUUCAUGGAUGAAGGAACUGAGCUUUGGAGAGUGGAGAAAACAGGCCCAGGGUUUCAAAGCCAGAGGAGGAAUAAGCACAUGGCUCUUUCCUGGAGUGCUUGCUCCCAUGAGGAUUCCAGGCGGCCAGGGUUCUCAGUGCAAGCACACUUCCUUCACACUCAAGCCCACUCUCUGGGACUGAAAGGGCUCAUCUGCCUCUCAGGCCCCCAUUGUACCCCAGGUGCAAGGGAGCAGGCGGAGGUGCAAAGAGCUUAGGAGCUGGAGACUGAAGGACUUUGCUCAAAUCCCUGCUUCAUCCUGAUGGGUUGUAUGACUUUGGGCAAGACCCUCAACCUCUCUGGUCUCAGGCUUUUCAUCUGUAAAAUGGGCAUGAUGCCAUACACUU
This is a long non-coding RNA of Otolemur garnettii (small-eared galago), 5059 nucleotides long. RefSeq lists it as uncharacterized. NCBI's taxonomy places the organism in Eukaryota, Metazoa, Chordata, Mammalia, Primates, Galagidae. The transcript is spliced from 2 exons. The record is from RefSeq and is a predicted model, not a curated record.